Molecule: ribosomal RNA, 559 nt
Filed under: Salmonella enterica subsp. enterica serovar Paratyphi B var. L(+) tartrate +
Lineage: Bacteria; Pseudomonadati; Pseudomonadota; Gammaproteobacteria; Enterobacterales; Enterobacteriaceae
Description: partial 23S ribosomal RNA
Rfam family: Bacterial large subunit ribosomal RNA
Source: RNAcentral
UAUUCUGUAGCAAGGUUAACCGUAUAGGGGAGCCGGAGGGAAACCGAGUCUUAAUUGGGCGUUAAGUUGCAGGGUAUAGACCCGAAACCCGGUGAUCUAGCCAUGGGCAGGUUGAAGGUUGGGUAACACUAACUGGAGGACCGAACCGACUAAUGUUGAAAAAUUAGCGGAUGACCUGUGGCUGGGGGUGAAAGGCCAAUCAAACCGGGAGAUAGCUGGUUCUCCCCGAAAGCUAUUUAGGUAGCGCCUCGUGAAUUCAUCUCCGGGGGUAGAGCACUGUUUCGGCUAGGGGGCCAUCCCGGCUUACCAACCCGAUGCAAACUGCGAAUACCGGAGAAUGUUAUCACGGGAGACACACGGCGGGUGCUAACGUCCGUCGUGAAGAGGGAAACAACCCAGACCGCCAGCUAAGGUCCCAAAGUCAUGGUUAAGUGGGAAACGAUGUGGGAAGGCCCAGACAGCCAGGAUGUUGGCUUAGAAGCAGCCAUCAUUUAAAGAAAGCGUAAUAGCUCACUGGUCGAGUCGGCCUGCGCGGAAGAUGUAACGGGGCUAAACCAUG